GUGACUUAUUUAAGCAUUUUCCCCCUGUCCUGUGCAGAGGAUUGUUCUGGUGGUGAAUGAAAGGAUCCACACAUAAAAACCAUUCAUUUGUUCAAAAAAAAAGCAGGAGAAAGGCACAAGACUAUUACAUUAAUUAAGCAGUGUCUGCUCAGAGCUCGGCACCCUUGGGGCCCUUUGCUCUGUUCAGUACAAGCCUGGCAAAAAGGCUUGAGUAGAGAUAGAAAAACCCUCCAACAGUGCAUUUUGACAGUGCUCAAAAAUGCAUUUCUGAUGUACCUGUGAGGCAAGACUCGUAUGGGGUGGACACACAGGCGGGCAGAGGUUGGGGCUCACUGAUGGGGUUCAGGUCCCAAAUGUUUUGCCCGUUUUCAGACACACACACCCCAUACCAGCCUCUCCCAGUGGCCUGCAGGGUGCUCUGUGCCCUGUUCCUAUCAGGAUCUGACCCUGCGGGGGGGCAUCUGACCUCGAGCAUUCUCCUUCUGCCGUCCCCCGGAGUCCCCCCUUCGUUCAGCACAGUAACUCCCGCUGUUACCUGGCCAGGGCAAGCUCCAGCCCCCGGAGAGCACAGAGGCUGCACCAGCCGGGACUCUCCCGACACACCAGCCCCGAGUCCCGCUCCGUCAAUACUCGCAUUAUUUCUUUUGCAGGAGCACAUUUAUCCUCUGUGCCCGAAGAGCAGGGGACACGCUGCCCGCCCGGGCGAGGGGCUGGCAAAGAGAGGCAAAAAGCCCCAGCUCCGGGCGGCCGGAGGGGGAUGCCCGGGGGAGCCCGUCCCGCCACGGGAGACGCGGGGGAUGCACCGAUGGAAUUUGGGGAGCGCCCGGAGCGCUCGGUCCCCGCUGCCGCAGCGGCCACGCACCGAGCCCGGACCCCCCGCCCCGGGGGCGACCCCAGACGCUGAAUUCCGGCGAUGUUAUCGCCGGGCAGCGCCGCGGCCGGCGGGGCCGCCGCUCCAUCCCCAGCCCAGGGUUUCCAGUGAAGCCGCAGCAGCGUGGGGGGGGUGCCGAACCCCCGCUUCGGGCGGAUCCGGCUGCUCUGCCAGCGGCUCUUCCCGGGGACGGGGCGGCCCCCCCGGCAGUGCCCGCGGCAGCGCCCGAGCGCGGCGGGGCUGGAGCUGGGAGUGCGGGGGUCCCACCGGGGGACACGGACCCCCCGGGCCGGGGGCAGCGAUCAGCACGGUCCGCCCGUGAGCGGUGCCCGGGGGGCAGCGAGGGGGCCGCGUUCGUGUCCCCGCUCCCUCAGGGUCCCCUUACCUGGCUCCGGGCUCGGCUCCCCCGCCGGCGUUGGCCGCUCCCGCCGAGGCACGGACAGACGGCAGCCACGGGGAAUUAGGAGCUCCCCAAAGCCCUGCCGCCCUUCCCGAGGGGAGUCAGUGCCGGGGAUGCCUCCCCCCGGCCCCGGGACCCCCCCGGUCCUCCCCCCGUAUCGAUUCCAGCCCGGCGCUGGCAGCGUUUAGGUCGGGAUUGGGGGAUAAUGGGAAUAUCAUCUGGAGACAAUUACCUUUGGAGCGGGCUCGCUUCUCCUCCCAGACACUGUUAUUUGAGCAAUAGGAUCAUUUGAUUUCAUAUCGCACUAAAUAACCCCCGGCCGCCGCAAAUUGCCGCCUUCUCAACAGCCACCCUUCGGAAUAAAUUGCACAGCGACUCCGUGGGCUCUGGCUUCUUCUUUCUUUCCUUUUUUUUCCCCCCUUUAUUUCCCCCCCUCCUUUUUCUCCUUUGAAGAACAGUAUUUCGGGAUAAGCCAGGACGGAGGCCCGAUGCUGUCGGAUAAGCUGCGCCCAGCAAAGCUCCAGCUCCCUUAAUAAGCCAAGCCUGACCCGCGGGGGUUUUCUUCAUGUUUUUCUCCCCCUCCCUCGGCCUUUCCUUUUUUUUUUUUUUUCCCAUCCUCAUUUUUUCCCCCCUCUAAAGUAGCUCUUCCCCCGCCCGGGUCCCGCCGAUGCCAGGGCGCGAUGUGCCUUUAAGGCUCUGUCAGCGCUCACCCGCAAAUCUGGUCAUCGCCGGCCUCAUUAGAUCCGUAUUAAUGUCAGCCACGGAUUGCUAAUUAGAUUUGUGGGAUAAAUGAAAUUACCCGAGUGGGCUGCGUGGGAGGGGGAGUGCAGUCUCCCAGCGCUUCCCGGGAUUUACAGGUCGGGGAAAGAAAAAAAAAAAAGAAAAAGAAAAAGGAAAAAAAAUUGUUUUCUUUUCCCUCCUUUCUUUUCCUUCCCUUCUUUCCCCUCCUGCCCUCCCCCCGGGCCCCAUCCCCAUUCUCUGACAGUCACUAACCAAGGAAUUCCCCAUCCCAUCCCCGCCAGACUGCUCUGUGGUGGUGGAACUUGGGGUUUUGCUCCCCUUUUCCCAUGCUAAGGGAGCCCACGGGGCUGUGCCAGGUGUGCUUGCCGAGGGAUCCCACUUGUGUUGGAUCCAUGGAUAUCGGGGAGCGGCUCGGGGGGAACAGCGCUGUGCUGCAGGGGUCGAGGGAGAGCCCCAUGGCAUUAUUCAUCCUAUUUAUUUACCCUUAUUAGAAACCCCGAUGAAAGAGCAGGGCCCGGAGUGCUCCUUUAAGCGCCGGCUGAGCAGCGCGCACACAACCCCAAUUAAACGCUGCCCGCACGAGGCCUUUCUCCCUAUGAGAAAACCAGCUCUGUUUAAUGAGGACCAAUUAAAUCCUGCUUCAUUUUACCUGGCACCUCACAAUAGAUGUGACAACAAAUUCCCUUUCUUCUUCCCUGGUAAUUACUGGCAGAACCAGCCCAGCUCCCAGCAGCAGGAAGCCCUUCCCAAUAACCCACCCGAACCCCCAGCUGGACCCUUCCUGCCCCCAAUCCCACCAAAACCCACUCGGGAUCAACCUGGGCCUCCAGUCCUGUCCCACUGCAGCCCAACACGGUGCUGGCAGAGCUGGGCCCCUCCAGCCCCUCCUAGGGAAGUGUGUGGAGCUAUUCCAGCCCAGCUCUGGCCUCCAUUCCCAGGCCUUCCCUGAGCCGCCCCAGUCUUAAAGACUGCACCCUGACUCCCCGGGGAACAUCGCUGCAACCAGGAGAUUCAAUUAAAUAACCCCAGCCCUUUGCUUCUCCCACAAAUAAAUGGCUUUUUUUCCUGCCCCAAAUAUUUCCUUUCCCAAGUUCCCUUUCAAAAGGGAGAAAGAAAAAAAGAAACAAAACCCCAAACUGGAGAACAACGGGAAAAAAAGGAGAGGGGGGAAAAGAAAAGAAAGAAACUGUUCUCCUUUCUUUUCCCUGUGUGCAGGGUAAUUGAUAGGCUCUAUCAGAGGUCAGGAUUUGCAUAAGAAUUAAGAGCAGUAAAUUAAUUUAAUAUUCCAUGCACAUCUCCAAUUAUUCCUGCAGACCUUUGUCUCCACGGCUGGCAGAGAGAAGGUUCAGCUGCUCUUCAACCAAACAACAUCUGUGCAGUUAAUAAUUUGAUAAACAGCUCAUACAAAUAGUUUCUGAAUUAUCUGCCAACCCAAUGACUAUUCAGUUUGGAAACACUCGGCGAGGGCUGUGCCGGCGGCCAGGGCUUUGGAGCCUGUCCUGGAUUCAGCUGCACGGCACACACUCACCCUCCUUAUCCCUGAAAUAUCAGCAGCUCCCUGCAACAAACCCCCAGCAGUGGCAAUAUGGAAAAUAACUAAUUACCAGUAAUUAAUAAAGCCCCCCCCGGGUAGGAGGGGCCGCAGCCCCCCUUGGGAGAGGCCGGUGUGUGCUGUGGGGCCGGGCUGUGCCCCCGCUCCAGGGAUCCCGGGGAUCCCGGGGGGGUUUGUGGCCAGUGCCAGUGCCCUGCGAGCGGGGAGGAAUCACCCCUGCUGGGGGCAGGAUUUACAGUCCCCCAGCUGCCUCAUUCCCUCCACGACCACCUGGAAAGGGGACGGGUUCUCCUGGAAGCCCUGGCUCUCCCCCUGCCCCAGGACUAAUGGGAGCCAGCGCACUGCAAACGCGGAAUCAUGGAAUUGUCAAGGUUGGAAAAUCCCUCUAAGAUCACCGAGUCCAACAGUUCCCCCCAGCACUGCCAAGGUUACCACUAACCCAUGUCCCCAGGUACCACAUCCACAGAGCUGUUAAAUCCCUCCAGGGAUGGGGAUCCACCACUGCCCUGGGCAGCCUGUGCCAGGGCUGGACAGCCCUUUCUGUGAAGAAAUUUUCCCAAAUAUCCAAACUAAACUUCCCCUGGCACAAUUUGAGUCCAUUUUCUCUUGUCCUGUCAUGUGUUACCUGGGAGAAGGGACCGGCCCCACCUGGCUACACCCUCCUCUCAGGUAGCUGCACAGAGCCAUAAGGUCUCUCCUCAGCCCUCUGAGUCAGAAAUUUCUCUUUCACACACUCCAGGAACCUCAUGGACUGUCUCCUCUCUGCUGUUCCCUAUUUCCAUCUGACACCUGGUAAGUUGAAGUCCCCCAUAACAAGAGCUGGUGACUGAGACUUCUCUCAGCUGCUUACAGAGUAUUUGGCUGUCUCUCCACCCUGGCUGAGGGUCCAGAGCAGCCUCCCACCAGGCCACCUGCCCCAGUUCUCAUCCAGAAACACUCAACCCCGUCGGCACUAUCACUAAGCUCCAAACAACCCAAACCCUCACGAACACAGGGGGCUGCCCAGCACCUCUCCUGCCUUACCCAUCUCUUCUGGCUUUUACAUUGGUGGGACACAGCCAGGGAAUGUGGUUUCCAAACCUCUCCUCGGAGCGACGUGUAAUUCCAUUUGCCAGACAAGUGACUGACCUUGUCCUUUGUUCCUGCCCUGCCCUGCCCAAUUACUCUGUUGGAGUGCAACGAGAAGGAAAAUUAAAUUUGCACACUGGGUGCCGUGAAUAAAUGCAGUGACCACCUAAUUUUUCUGCUAAGGAGCCUCCUGGUGAGGCCACCAAGGUGGGGGGGCUGUGGCCCCUCCUGGUGCCACUUGCCCUGGGCAGUGGGGCAGGACAGCAGGGCAGGAUCGUGGCUCCCACAGCACCCCAGGCCUGACCUUAAAUUACAGUUGCCAAGAGUUCCCCUGGAGAUGCCAUGGCUCCUCACUCCCUUCAGGCAUUAAGCAUCACUCUAAAAUUAAUAGAAAGUUGAUUUUAAAAAGAUUAUGAAGUUCUCCAGGCUAAAGGAAAGGUUAAUGCUCCUCUCCAUAAUCACGCAACUUUCAUGUUUGCUGUCAUAAAGAGCUGAUUUUUCUCUCCCAUUUAAAGAGAGAAUUUACACCAUGAGCAGGAAUCCAGAAAUAGGGCCGUAAACAGAAGUGAAGGGAUCAGGUGCCAAAUUUGGACAGAUGUCUGGGGCUUGAUAAACCACUGCAGCCUUAUCACAGCAUAAAUAAUGCCAGGCUCAGCACGGCGCUGUGGGACAGGCCAAGACCUGGUACCUCUGCUGGGGGAGGGAGAUCCCAGCCCCCAGGGGGAGAUCCCAGUCAGAAUUGGGAGCUCACAGACUCAGCUGCUGCUGUGCCAGCCUGUGCUGGGGCACACUGUUACCUGGCUGCAUCACUGGUGCCAGGGUAAGGCCCACAGUCACCAUGGUGAAUCAGCCCCCUGAAUAUUCAACAUCAGCAGCUCCAGGGCUGCCCAGACCCAUGGAUUUGCCAGGAAAUGGAGGCUUUUUUUCCUCCUUUCCAAAACUGAGAUCAAUGCACUGUGCUGUCUCUGGAGCCUGUGGCUGUUCAGACUGAGACCGUGGUUUGCCCCAGCUCUAAUUACACACAAACCCGGGUUUUAUUUUGGAAGGUAAAUGUGCUGCUUUAAGGAAUGCAAAUCCCCCUUUUCCAGCCCUGGUGCCUGGAUGCUCCAUGUUGUAAGGAGGGAAUCAGAAAGCACCCAGCACAGGGCAUCCCCUGCUCUUCACACGUUCCUGUGGCUCGGGGCUGACGGAGCCUGGCCUGGCACGGCGAGUUUGGAGAUCAGGGAGAUGCAACGCUGGCUUUGCAGUGCAGGACACUGGAGAUCUUCAGUGCUGAUGGCUCACCCUGGAAACCCUUAAGCCCCUUUGGUCCCUGGAUUGAACCCCAGCACGAGGAUUUCAGCACUGACACUUGCCAGGCGACGUUGGGUAGUUUAAUUAAUGUUUGCAGAGCUCUGGGCACAGCUCUACGUGCGCCUGCAUUCGCUGGGCCUCGAACCCCACGGAAACCCUGGCACUGCCACCUCAGCCACACCCGGGGUUCCCUUUGUCAUCUCAGGGCGAUGUACCCUGAGGCAGGAAGAGGCAAAUCCCACCUGUGCCAACGGGUGCCUGGAAGGUGCGUUCCCAGCACCACUUUUUGGCACCGAGAUGCCUCUUUACAGACUCGCCCGUCGAGUUGCCGUGCCACUCUCUGGUUUAUGGAGCCCCAGAGUGUCUGUAAUGAGAGAUUAAAAUAGCAGUCGUGCCGUGUGA
Molecule: long non-coding RNA, 6327 nt
Organism: Pseudopipra pipra
Lineage: Eukaryota; Metazoa; Chordata; Aves; Passeriformes; Pipridae
Exons: 2
Source: RefSeq, a predicted model, not a curated record